UACAGAGGGUGCGAACGUUGCUCGGAUUUACUGGGCGUAAAGCGUGUGUAGGCGGGUUCGCAAGUCGGUUGUGAAAUCCCUGGGCUCAACCCAGGAACUGCAUCCGAAACUGCGUGCCUUGAGGAGUAGAGAGGGUGGCGGAAUUCCCGGUGUAGAGGUGAAAUUCGUAGAUAUCGGGAGGAACAUCAGCGGCGAAGGCGGCCGCCUGGAUACUUACUGACGCUGAGACACGAAAGCGUGGGGAGCAAACAGG
Molecule: ribosomal RNA, 253 nt
Filed under: uncultured bacterium
Lineage: Bacteria
Description: partial 16S ribosomal RNA
Rfam family: Bacterial small subunit ribosomal RNA
Source: RNAcentral